UACGUAGGUGGCGAGCGUUGUCCGGAUUUACUGGGCGUAAAGGGAGCGUAGGCGGAUUUUUAAGUGAGAUGUGAAAUACUCGGGCUCAACUUGAGUGCUGCAUUUCAAACUGGAAGUCUAGAGUGCAGGAGAGGAGAAUGGAAUUCCUAGUGUAGCGGUGAAAUGCGUAGAGAUUAGGAAGAACACCAGUGGCGAAGGCGACUCUCUGGACUGUAACUGACGCUGAGGCUCGAAAGCGUGGGGAGCAAACAGG
This 253-nucleotide ribosomal RNA is filed under the name uncultured bacterium. RNAcentral's name for it is "partial 16S ribosomal RNA". It matches the Rfam family "Bacterial small subunit ribosomal RNA", at positions 524 to 776 of the family's 1533-position model. The record is from RNAcentral.